This 693-nucleotide ribosomal RNA is filed under the name Necrobia rufipes (red legged ham beetle). RNAcentral describes it as "partial large subunit ribosomal RNA". It matches the Rfam family "Eukaryotic large subunit ribosomal RNA", at positions 641 to 1286 of the family's 3401-position model. Lineage: Eukaryota; Metazoa; Arthropoda; Insecta; Coleoptera; Cleridae. The record is from RNAcentral.
CCGGGACCCCCUUUUGAAACACGGACCAAGGAGUCUAGCAUGUGCGCGAGUCAUUGGGAAUCACAAAACCUAAAGGCGCAAUGAAAGUGAAGGCCCGCCUUGCGCGGGCCGAGGGAAGAUGGGCGUGUCCGUGUUAACCACGGCCGCUCCGCACUCCCGGGGCGUCUCGUUCUCAUCGCGAGAAGAGGCGCACCAAGAGCGUACACGCUGGGACCCGAAAGAUGGUGAACUAUGCCUGGUCAGGACGAAGUCAGGGGAAACCCUGAUGGAGGUCCGUAGCGAUUCUGACGUGCAAAUCGAUCGUCGGAACUGGGUAUAGGGGCGAAAGACUAAUCGAACCAUCUAGUAGCUGGUUCCCUCCGAAGUUUCCCUCAGGAUAGCUGGCGCUCGUCGCCUACGAGUCUCAUCCGGUAAAGCGAAUGAUUAGAGGCAUUGGGGUCGAAACGGCCUCAACCUAUUCUCAAACUUUAAAUGGGUGAGAUCUCCGGCUUGCUCGAACUGUUGAAGCCGCGAGACACGGAUCAGAGUGCCAAGUGGGCCAUUUUUGGUAAGCAGAACUGGCGCUGUGGGAUGAACCAAACGCCGAGUUAAAGCGCCUAAAUCGACGCUUAUGGGAUACCAUGAAAGGCGUUGGUAACUUAAGACAGCAGGACGGUGGCCAUGGAAGUCGGAAUCCGCUAAGAAGUGUGUAAA